CCGACGGUGGCCGAAGCGAGCACCCCGGUCGAUGUCAUCUCGGCGCAGUUCGCGAUGUGCGUGGCGGGGGAUGCCGCGGCGGCGCCCUCUGGCGGGGGUCAGCAGAACAUCACGUGCUCGACGCAAACGGACACGGCGACGUUCGACGGGGGCACGGACGGCGGCGGUCAAGCCGAGGUGUUCGCCUUUCCGGAGUCGAUGUCCAUCACCCAGUUCACGAGUGUUCAAAAGAGUUUCCGUCCGGACUCUCUCCUGUUGCCUUCUCAUAGUCUAGAGGAAGAAUAUUUUAAUGAUAUUCUCAACGGAAUCAAGCACGUCAUUCAAGGACAUUUAGAGGAUGUGCAAACGAGUUCAAAUCAAAAAUAGUCAAUUUAGAACAAGAAGUAAGAACAAGGGAUGAAAUUAUAGCAAGGCUUCAACAAAAAUUCAUCGGUUAGAGGCAGGGAUUAGGCAUUCAAGCGAGUCCGACUCGGAUAGUGAUAUGGACGAUUCGGAUGAAUACUCUGAUCAGCCAUUCAUGCGAGGUGAUUCGGUGGACACGGUGGUGGGUCCAUCGGAGGAGGGUGUCUGGGUGGACGAGAGCGGGCGGUGCGGGAGCAAGACGGGGCUGCGGGGCUACCAGUGCAACCGGCGCUCGUGGGAGGACCACUCGGAGGAGGAGAGCCUGGAGCUGCAGGACCUGCCGCGCUCCAUCACGCCGCAGCCCAUGUGGACGACCGUGGAGAUCGGCUCCGAGUCCUCCGACAGCCCCGGCUCCCUCGACUCGGAGCACUCCGUCUCCGGCUCCACCUCCGAGCAGGACCUCCGCUUCCGCAAGCACGACUGCAACUGGGAGAUUCAGAUGCUCGCCCGGGAGCUCGACCGACGGAAAACCGACCGCACCCAGGAGCGCAGGGACAGGGACCGCGAUCGCAAACAGAGGUUAGCUUUCUUUCCUACUUGUUUUCUCUUAUAUAGACGUUUUUAUGUUGCAGGCAAGGGAGAUCCGCGAUCUACCACCACGUUGAGCCAUA
RNAcentral lists this long non-coding RNA (1013 nucleotides) under Bemisia tabaci. Its description in RNAcentral is "lncRNA ENSSSA1NGG001881". The record is from RNAcentral. Lineage: Eukaryota; Metazoa; Arthropoda; Insecta; Hemiptera; Aleyrodidae.